AAUUCGCCCUUAGAGUUUGAUCCUGGCUCAGGACUAACGCUGGCGGCGUGCCUAAUACAUGCAAGUCGAACGGUCGUGCGUUUGUAGCAAUAUGGACGUACGAUAGUGGCGAACGGGUGAGUAACACGUGGAAAACCUACCCUCGAGCGGGGAAUAACUCCGGGAAACUGGGGCUAAUACCGCAUGACAUCCCAACCUGGCAUCGGGAGGGGAUCAAAGCCGAAAGGCACUUGAGGAUGGUUCCGCGGCCUAUCAGCUAGUUGGCGGGGUAACGGCCCACCAAGGCGACGACGGGUAGCCGGCCUGAGAGGGCGAUCGGCCACAAGGGGACUGAGACACGGCCCCUACUCCUACGGGAGGCAGCAGUAGGGAAUUUUGCUCAAUGGGGGAAACCCUGAAGCAGCGACGCCGCGUGGGCGACGAAAUCCUUCGGGAUGUAAAGCCCUUUUAACCGGGACGAAAUACAUGACGGUACCGGUGGAAUAAGCCUCGGCUAACUCCGUGCCAGCAGCCGCGGUAAGACGGGGGAGGCAAGCGUUGUCCGGAAUCACUGGGUGUAAAGGGCGUGUAGGCGGGCCGGCUAGUCGGUUGUUAAAUCUCUCCGCUCAACGGAGAAGCUGCGGCCGAUACUUCCGGUCUUGAGUGCGGCAGGGGAGGAUGGAAUUCCUGGUGUAGCGGUGAAAUGCGUAGAUAUCAGGAGGAACACCGGUGGCGAAGGCGGUCCUCUGGGCCUGCACUGACGCUGAGUGCGCGAAAGCUGGGGUAGCAAACAGAAUUAGAUACUCUGGUAGUCCCAGCCCUAGACGA
This 807-nucleotide ribosomal RNA is filed under the name uncultured bacterium. RNAcentral describes it as "bacterial SSU rRNA". It matches the Rfam family "Bacterial small subunit ribosomal RNA", at positions 1 to 809 of the family's 1533-position model. The record is from RNAcentral.